Molecule: transfer RNA, 73 nt
Filed under: Dactylellina haptotyla CBS 200.50
Lineage: Eukaryota; Fungi; Ascomycota; Orbiliomycetes; Orbiliales; Orbiliaceae
Description: tRNA-Lys (TTT) (tRNA-Lys-TTT-1-1, tRNA-Lys-TTT-1-2)
Rfam family: tRNA
About the family: Transfer RNA (tRNA) molecules are approximately 80 nucleotides in length. Their secondary structure includes four short double-helical elements and three loops (D, anti-codon, and T loops).
Source: RNAcentral
GCCCUCCUAGCUCAAUCGGAAGAGCGUGGGACUUUUAAUCCCAAGGUCGUGAGUUCGAGCCUCACGGAGGGCG